Molecule: ribosomal RNA, 232 nt
Filed under: uncultured bacterium
Lineage: Bacteria
Description: partial 16S ribosomal RNA
Rfam family: Bacterial small subunit ribosomal RNA
Source: RNAcentral
CGGACGGGUGAGUAAUAUGUAGGAAUCUACCUAAAGGUGGGGGAUAACUUGGGGAAACUCAAGCUAAUACCGCAUAAGCCCUACGGGGGAAAGCAGGGGCUCGCAAGACCUUGUGCCUUAUGAUGAGCCUACAUCGGAUUAGCUUGUUGGUGGGGUAAAGGCCUACCAAGGCGACGAUCCGUAGCUGGUCUGAGAGGACGAUCAGCCACACUGGGACUGAGACACGGCCCAG